RNAcentral lists this ribosomal RNA (426 nucleotides) under uncultured bacterium. RNAcentral's name for it is "partial 16S ribosomal RNA". It matches the Rfam family "Bacterial small subunit ribosomal RNA", at positions 354 to 796 of the family's 1533-position model. The record is from RNAcentral.
GUGAGGAAUUUUCCGCAAUGGGCGAAAGCCUGACGGAGCAAUGCCGCGUGAAGGAUGAAGGCCUAUGGGUUGUAAACUUCUUUUCUCAGAAAAGAAUUAUGACGGUAUCUGAGGAAUAAGCAUCGGCUAACUCUGUGCCAGCAGCCGCGGUAAGACAGAGGAUGCAAGCGUUAUCCGGAAUGAUUGGGCGUAAAGCGUCUGUAGGUUGUUUAAAAAGUAUUCUGUCAAAGAUUAGGGCUUAACCCUAGAUAGGCAGAAUAAACUUUUAAGCUAGAGUUUUGUAGAGGCAGAGGGAAUUCCCGGUGGAGCGGUGAAAUGCGUAGAUAUCGGGAGGAACACCAAAGGCGAAGGCACUCUGCUGGGCCAAUACUAACACUGAGAGACGAAAGCGAGGGGAGCAAAUGGGAUUAGAUACCCCUGUAGUCC